Molecule: ribosomal RNA, 488 nt
Filed under: uncultured bacterium
Lineage: Bacteria
Description: bacterial SSU rRNA
Rfam family: Bacterial small subunit ribosomal RNA
Source: RNAcentral
AUUGAACGCUGGCGGCAUGCCUUACACAUGCAAGUCGAACGGCAGCACGGGAGCAAUCCUGGUGGCGAGUGGCGAACGGGCGAGUAAUAUAUCGGAACGUGCCCAGUCGUGGGGGAUAACGUAGCGAAAGUUACGCUAAUACCGCAUACGAUCUAAGGAUGAAAGCGGGGGAUCGCAAGACCUCGCGCGAUUGGAGCGGCCGAUAUCAGAUUAGGUAGUUGGUGAGGUAAAGGCUCACCAAGCCAACGAUCUGUAGCUGGUCUGAGAGGACGACCAGCCACACUGGAACUGAGACACGGUCCAGACUCCUACGGGAGGCAGCAGUGGGGAAUUUUGGACAAUGGACGCAAGUCUGAUCCAGCCAUUCCGCGUGCAGGAUGAAGGCCCUCGGGUUGUAAACUGCUUUUGUACGGAACGAAAAGGUUUCUCUAAUACAGAGACCUAAUGACGGUACCUGAAGAAUAAAGCACCGGCUAACUACGUGCCAG